This 253-nucleotide ribosomal RNA is filed under the name uncultured bacterium. RNAcentral's name for it is "partial 16S ribosomal RNA". It matches the Rfam family "Bacterial small subunit ribosomal RNA", at positions 524 to 776 of the family's 1533-position model. The record is from RNAcentral.
UACGUAGGGUGCGAGCGUUAAUCGGAAUUACUGGGCGUAAAGCGCGCGUAGGCGGCUUGGUCAGUCGGGUGUGAAAUCCCUGGGCUCAACCUGGGAACUGCAUUCGAUACUGCCUGGCUAGAGUAUGGGAGAGGGAAGUGGAAUUCCGAGUGUAGGGGUGAAAUCCGUAGAUAUUCGGAGGAACACCAGUGGCGAAGGCGGCUUCCUGGACCAAUACUGACGCUGAGACGCGAAAGCGUGGGGAGCAAACAGG